This 94-nucleotide transfer RNA is filed under the name compost metagenome. RNAcentral describes it as "tRNA-Glu". The record is from RNAcentral.
UCGGCGCGCUGGCGCGUCCGGCGCCGGCACUCGGCGUUUUCGUCGCCGCGCUCGCCCUGCUGGCGGCGGGCGCGAUCGAGUCGCGCGGCCUGAA